Molecule: long non-coding RNA, 1260 nt
Filed under: Vigna radiata
Lineage: Eukaryota; Viridiplantae; Streptophyta; Magnoliopsida; Fabales; Fabaceae
Description: long non-coding RNA (VRAD_LNC013369)
Source: RNAcentral
AGAUAAAAUAAAAUAAAAUAAAAGGAAAUAAAAUAGAAUAAAAAUCAAAUCAAAUAAGAUCAAAUCAAAUCAAAUCAAAUCAAAAUAAAAGAAAAUAAAAUAAAAUCAAAUAAAAAUAAAAUAAAAUAAAACAAAAUAAAAAAACUCAAGAAUUGGGUUCAAGAUAUUAUUUUCUUUUUGUUGAAUUUUUUUAGGAACUUAAUAUAACUAGGAACCCGUUGCAGUGUCCCAAUCAUAGGAACUUUAAUCUCCAAUUUCUUGAAGAUUUCCAUAAAACACUUAAACUGUUUUUCCUUUUUCUUCCUAUGAUCCUUCUUUGGGUGAGGAAGGGGUUUUUCAUAUGAUUCUUUCUUUUUGCUUUCAUCCUUCCCCUCUUUCUUUUUCUCCUUGGGACAUUCUUUAGGACAAAAAGGACUUUUCUCAAUUUUUUUCUCUUCUCUCUCAACUUCUUCUUUUUCUUCCUCUACAUCUCUCUCUUCUUCACUCAUACUUUCUUUUUCUUCUCUCUACUUUUUUCUUCUCCUCUUUCUCUUCUUCUUCUUACUCCUCAUCGCUCAAACUCUCUUCUUCUUUUAUCUCUAUUUUUCUCUCAUCCUCUCUCUUUUCUUCUUUUUCUCUUUCCUCAUCUAGAACUUGGUCACUUUCAAUGAUAACAUCUUUGCAUUCCUUAUCAGGCUUCUCGUUGUUUGUGAUCUCAUUCAGCAUCUGACUUAGGACCUUGCACUGAGCCCCAAAAUUUUGUGAUGAGGCCUGAAUGUUUUUCCGAAAUGAGAUAGAGUCCUUCAGGAAUUGUUGGAGAGUCUCUUCAAGUUUGUAGUGCUAUCAGCUUGUGGUGGACUAGUGAAUAGUCCUUCAGCUUGCCCAUAUUGAUUUUGAUUUAUGCUUAGGUAAGGUUCCUACCAGUAGUUGAAAUUAUCCUGGUAAAAUUGCAUCUUGUUUAAAGCAUAUUGUAAUACCUGCACAAAAAUUCUAGAGAGAGAUUAUUAUUUUUUUUAUAUAAAAAUGGAAAUUGGGGAUUGAAAAAUAAAAAUAAAAAUGGAAAACUAAAAUUGAUGGAAUAAAAUAAAAUAAAAUAAAAUAAAAUAAAAUAGAAUAAAACAAAGUCAAAAUUAAUCAAGAAUCACACAAAUAGAAUAGCUUAAACAGUGAGUCCCCGGCAACGGCGGCAAAAACUUGUUGGGGCAAAUCGACAAGUGUACCGAGUCGCACAAGUAAUAUAAAAUGGUAAGACAAGUAUCGUAUCCCAAAGGACUCUCGGCG